ACACCGGCAGCCCGAGUGGUGACCGCUAUUAUUGGGCCUAAAGCGUCCGUAGCCGGGUGGGUAAGUCCCUGUGGAAAUCCUCAGGCUUAACCUGAGGAAGUGCGGGGAUACUGCCCGCCUUGGGGCCGGGAGACGCGGAGGGUACUCCAGGGGUAGCGGUGAAAUGCUGUAAUCCCUGGGGGACCACCAGUGGCGAAGGCGCUCCGCGAGAACGGGCCCGACGGUGAGGGACGAAAGCCAGGGGAGCGAACGGGAUUAGAAACCCUAGUAGUCC
Molecule: ribosomal RNA, 274 nt
Filed under: uncultured bacterium
Lineage: Bacteria
Description: partial 16S ribosomal RNA
Rfam family: Archaeal small subunit ribosomal RNA
Source: RNAcentral